AGCAAGCAAAUAAAGAACUUUAAAAAGUAUAUAGAAUGUUAGUAAACAUGUCACACAGUUGCUUUGAUGGUUAUUGAAUUUCUAUUAUAAAAUCUGAAUUUCUUAUACCGGAAGCAUGUUUUCAAUGUACAGGCACAAGUGUUGUGGAAAUUUACCCCCCCAAAAAAACAGCAUAUUCAGUGUGGGAUUUCUGGCUAACAGUUGCACAAAGACAGCUAAAAAUCAGUAAGCAGGUACUUUUAGUCCUAAGAAAUUGUAUGUCGAUGGAUGUACGAAUAUUUGAUGCUAUCAAGUGAUUUAUUUGAGUAUGCCAGAUUGGGUGCAGGUGCAGUAACCAGUUAAUGCUGCUGAUUAGGCUAGCUAUUUUCUGUUUUGUUCAUGUGCUCAGGUUGCAUAAUAUACCAAGGAUACUUUGUUGUACCGUUUCUGGAAAAGGGGGUUGGACGGGGUAUGCAGAAGGGGUACUGACUUUAUGCACUGCAUGCCACUGAAACUUUACUAUUAGCAGUUACCAUAAUAGCAACCAGGCAGUUGGUCAUUCAAAGCAGGGAGAGCUAGGACAAGACUAAGCUGAACUGUGGCCUGCAGCAGCAACAACAACAUGUCACAAUGUGUGACUGAGUACACAUACCAGCAUGUUUCAGUAAUACAAGCAGGGGGGGCUACAGGAGAUCAGAAGAAUAUAGCUUUUGAGUACUGAAUAGCAAGGAGUUUUUACGUGGGAGUUCCAGAUCACAGAAGAGCAUGACUGGCUGUGGUAAUUGAGGCAGCCAUUAGACAGUGUAUUUCAAUAUAAUAAACAAUUAACCUCAAUGUAUUACUCAAUAAUGAAAAUAAGUCCAAAUGUGCACUUAACUGAGUAAAAAUAAGAUCCACCCCACAUCUGUUCUACACUAUAAUGUCAGGGUUUGGUUAGAAGUGUGUUGUGUGGUGAAACCAUUAACAUUUCCAAAUAUGGUAAAAUCCUGUCUCACCUCAGUGAGAUCAAUUCAACAAAUAAGUCAAACACAGUGUGGCCUCCACUUGACCACAAUGUCUUCCUGUUUGACAGCAGAUCUCUAAUCUGUCUGAACAAUGCACCAUAUUACUUUAUUUAUUUAUUUACACAGACUUGAUUUACUGAAAUCAUCUAAAAAUCUGAAGGAAAUAAAAAUGAUCAUGGGCAAAGUUAUUAUUAUAUACAAUUACAAUGAAUGGGCUAGAGUGAAUUUCAUUUGAAAUAUUUUGGAUCUAUGGGAUGGAGAGCCAAUUAAACAUUAUAACAUUGAGCCUUAAAUGUGACAGAAUCCAGCAUUCUUCUAGUACCUUGAAAGCCACCAUUUCUGAAUGAAAAUUUCUUUUUGUGCCUCAUGGAACUUUUACAGUUAGGGUUUGUACUAAGAAAGUCAUCAAGUCUGAAUGUGGAACCAAACUAAUGCAAUUUCCUCCUAACACCCCAGUAAUAUGUUCUCAUUAAUGCAGCCUUAAUAGGCAUGACUAAAAAGAGACAACAACACAAGCUAUGUGACUUUGCCAAACAGUAUGGCAGUUGCAAAGCUGAUAAAUGGCUGAUUACAGUACAGCUAUUAUAAAACUGCUGCAAGCUGCAGCAGGUUACCAGGCAAGAUUUAGUUCUGGUUCCUCCCUAAACAUAGAAGUUGACCAAAAUGUGGCCAGCCUGGUUAUCAUCAAAGAGCUCUUAUUCACACUAAUGAAAAAUCAAAAUACAGGAAACAAGCCUCAAGCAAAAAUUCAGGUAGAAAAUGUUAUGCUCUUUCAUCAGUGUGAAUGAAUUGAAUGUAAAUGCUGAUUUCUAUCUGUAAAGCAUAUUGGGUUUGAAAAAGGUGCUAUAUAAAUGUAACUAUUAAUUAAUAAACUCUAUCAAGGAAUUAAAAACAUCCAAUAAUAGUGGUACCAUGAGACAAUUUCUUUAAAAAGCACUAUAUUGAACACUGGAAUUUUGCAUUUAUUUGCAAUAAUAAUGCAGUAACUUACUGUGGAAAAGUAGUCAAUGGUAAGGAUGUUAACAAAAAUAAUGUCCAUGGGUUAAGAUUUUAAUAUAACAACAGAAUUUUAAUACAUCUAAUAAUUGAAAUAGUUUCCACCAGGAAAUGUGUGUUAACAUGCAGCACUGAAAAAUCCAAAAUUAAGUUAAAGCACAUUAGUUUUAUUCCUAAAAUUAGAGUCAAUGUCACAGAAAAGAAAACAAAACUAAACAGUGAAAAUAAACAGUGGUUAGGUUGCAGCAUGAAAAUGCAUAUUUGUGCUCAGCAGGUGACUGAGACACGGUCAAAGCAUGUGUUCCCACCUCACACAACCACACAUGCACCUCAUGGCUUAUAUGUAAAUACCAAGUCUAUAUUUUAAAUCCACAAAAUAAGCCCUCAAGUAUUUCAGAUUGAAUAUGACCACACCCAGACAGACCAUGUCAAUGGAGGAAGCCCAGGUCACCCAGCUGGUCUUCUGAGUCAGUAUAAACCUGAUGCUGAAAAGCUGUCAUGAACUCCCCGAUUCCCCGAAACAUAAUAAAGCUGAAAAAUGCCCAUGCCCAAAAGGACCAACUCACCCCUGCCAACAGAAGCCCAGCUGACAUACCCUGCUCCAGGCUUGGCAUUUGUGUGGAACACUGAGUGGGUCACCCUUGUGCUUCCACUGAAAAAGGGGCAAGUUGUUGCAGGCAGCACUCAUUCCAGAUCAGACUCCAACAACGCGAGUGCAGUCUUGUUCUCUUUCUGCUAUGCAUAUUGCUAUGAUAACAUGUCACCCCAGGCCCUCUGAGAAAGCCUUCUUCUGAUGAUGCUGGGAUGGAUAUACAGCUAGAUAUACUCAGGCUCUGAAAUUGAGGGAAAAGAUUUUAAAAAGGUUCCCAUUGUCACUCACUGUAGUGUUGGAAUUGGAACACGUUUUUGGAGAAGAAGAAUCUGUGGAAGCACCAAAAACAAUGGCACAGCAUAUUACAAAGAGGAGUCCUGCAAGGAAGUGGUUGCGAUCAAGUCAUAACGUGCUUUCCCAUAAUGAGAAGGGUUCGCCUCUCUGGAACAUUACAGGCUAAGAAACGGACAGAUCCACAGUCUACUCAAAUGGGGGCAAAGUCAGGGAACUGUUGUAAAAUGUUGUAAACCUCCCUUCUACAAUAAAUAUUUAUUUGUAGAUAUAAUGUAUGAUGCAGUAACAAAAUCUUGCAAAAUCUUUAGAAAGUCCUGUCGCAUGGGACUGAAAAAGAAUGCUUUAACUUUUUACACCUUCAGGCUAAUAUUUCACCACCAUUCCAGUAGAAAACAUAUAUGCAAAAGACCUCUACCUAACCAAAAAGCAGCACUGUGCAAUAUUGAGACCAAAUAAAAAACAAACACACAAAUUACAUAUUUUACAUAAUUAAAAAGUACUGUAGAAAAAUGUAUUUAUUCUGACAUGACAAAGAACUAAGAGCUCAUUAGCAAUUUCUGAAAUAAAACUGAAGAGAGAGCAGAGCCAUUUUAAAAUAAAUAUUUUAGGUACUUUCUCUGCUUCUUGCUGAGCCUUGACUUGCUCUGCUCAAAACCAUGCUGUUUUUCUCAAUUACAGCCUUGCAGAGGAAAGGAAACAAAGACCCAGGAAUGCAGAGCCCUGCAUCAAAGAACCAAAUAUAAUAAGCUUCCUAAUAAACAACCUAUAUUAACCCAUUCUGCCUUCUCAAUGAUCAAUUUCUCAAUUGUUGCCUAAUGUUUUGUAAACAGGUUACAAAAUUCAUGGCUAAAAAUGUGAAAUUGCUUUAGAGGGUACUUUUAAUAUGGUGAGUCUGGCAAUCUCACCAUAACUACUUUAACUUUGUAAUGCAUUCUGAUUUAAAAAACAAAAAACAAAAACAAAACACAUCUCAUUUAAACUGUGAAUAACCUUUAUGAGGAAAAAAUACAAGCAGUAAACUGCUUCCAUUUCCCCUGCACUGAUUGGAGAGAGGAUAACAGAAGCCUUUCCAGUUCCUGAGAGAGCCACGACCACUACAGGUCACAUGCUUCAUCUGACCAAAUGGAGCAAAACAGAGAACUGUUCAUUCCUCUCCUUCACAGAUGUGUAGUUGUGUACAGGAACUGUUUACAGGAAGAGACCAGGGGCCUUUUGUAUUUGCAGCUUCUAUAAAAGGAAAUUCUGAACAAGGCUUCCUGGAGCGAGAAAAGCCGUCCUCCACUUCUUUUUUAUUGGAGAGUGUAGACAAGAGGCCUCACUUUGGGUCAGACAAGAAAAGACAUAGCUGGUCCUAAAGCCUUAGAACAGGGCUUCCCUCAGAUGGGGGAAAAGAUGUAAAGACAGAGGUGUAGUUUGCCUACGAAUUGUUCAGCAUGCAGACGUGUAGCCUCCUCCAAGUGUGUCACGGAACACUCACCUCCGCGAGUCACGUGGUUUGGCCCACCACGUGCAGUGAGAGGAUCUUGUUCGUAACUACACCUGCACACACCUAUAU
Electrophorus electricus (electric eel) is the source of this 4420-nucleotide long non-coding RNA. RefSeq lists it as uncharacterized. The record is from RefSeq and is a predicted model, not a curated record. NCBI's taxonomy places the organism in Eukaryota, Metazoa, Chordata, Actinopteri, Gymnotiformes, Gymnotidae.